RNAcentral lists this long non-coding RNA (872 nucleotides) under Mus musculus (house mouse). RNAcentral's name for it is "RIKEN cDNA 1700108F19 gene (1700108F19Rik)". The record is from RNAcentral. Lineage: Eukaryota; Metazoa; Chordata; Mammalia; Rodentia; Muridae.
AAGUCGUGAUCACAAAUGAGAAGAAGACUCGAGGGGAUUGAUGAGCUGAGGCCAGGCUGGACCACUAGAAUGCAGCAAGAGCAGCUGAGCCCAGUGCUCUGGUCUCUAUUAUGUGGAGCGUAAGGGAGAGGGAGAUGGAUGAGGUCAUACUAUUGCAAUCACUUGGGAAAAAAUACACAAACUUCCAAAACUGCAAGAUGCUUUCUACUGCCACCAGACCUCCUUUGGAGGUUUUCCUACCGCUUAAUAACCAGGAACUUGUUGGCGUCUGACAGAGCAUCUCAGAUUUCUUACAUAAAAUGUGGAAUUGUCAAUAGUCAGAUGCAUCAGUGGCCAAGGCUAUGGUGUGCAGUUUCUAUCAGCGUGUACAGGACAUCCUGCCUGGUUUUGGCCUCAAGGAAGCAAUGGUGAGAUUUCGUAGCUCAUCGUCUCCUGGUUGGAGCAAAGGGUGCCAAACAGAGGUCAAGCUCGGGCCACAGGGAAACUGGGAAAAUACGUUCAUUGCCAUGUGCGAGGAGUCCAGUGGAUUUCAGAAAUCUUCUGUGUCUUCUUAUAGGAUACAGUGACAGCCCCUUACUGGAAGAACAUUUUAGAGCUGCCAUUGAUGGACACAGAGAGUGUUAAAACCCAGAGCACAUAAACCAGGAUGAGAAAAUUAAUCAGAAGAUAAAAGACAGCGGCUUUGGGAUCCCUGGCCGAGCCCUCCUGCAUGCUCCUGGGACAUCCUUUCAGACCAGCAGCACCAUCCCGUGCAGGGGCUGUGACAGAUGACUUAUAAUGUAGACAUCACCUCUGCUGGUGGACAGCCUUCGGAUCUGCUGAGUCCUUUUAUAAUAAAUAAAACCAAACACGACAAAACACUAUAAACAAAA